RNAcentral lists this ribosomal RNA (3071 nucleotides) under bacterium. RNAcentral describes it as "23S ribosomal RNA". It matches the Rfam family "Bacterial large subunit ribosomal RNA". The record is from RNAcentral.
GUUCAAGCUACCAAGGGUCUACGGUGGAUGCCUUGGUGUCGAGAGCCGAUGAAGGACGUAGCAGGCUGCGAAAGCCCCGGGUAGCUGUCAAGCAAGCUCCGAUCCGGGGGUGUCCGAAUGGGGAAACCUAGCUGGGGUAAUGCCCAGUUACUCCGGUCUGAACACAUAGGGCCGGUUGAGGCAACCGGGUGAAUUGAAACAUCUAAGUAACCCGAGGAACGGAAAGCAACAGCGACUCCCUGAGUAGUGGCGAGCGAAACGGGAAGAGCCUAAACCGAUGUGGUGUGAUAGCCCGAUGGCGUUGCCAUAUCGGUGUUGAGGGACCCGUCAGCCGGCGCGUCGGAGCCGGCAGGAAGUUACAAAGCCAGGUGAUAGUAGAACAAGUCUGGAAAGGCUGGCCACAGAAGGUAAUAGCCCUGUAUACGAAAUCGCACUGGUCUUCCGACGGUGAUCCCGAGUAGCGUCGGGGAUAUCUGGCGUGAAUCUGCGAGGACCACCUCGUAAGGCUAAGUACUACUCGGCGACCGAUAGCGGACAAGUACCGUGAGGGAAAGGUGAAAAGAACCCCGGCGAGGGGAGUGAAAUAGUACCUGAAACCGUAGACCUACAAGCAGUGGGAGGGAGCUUCGGCUCCUGACCGCCUGCCUUUUGAAGAAUGAGCCGGCGAGUUAGUGCUAUGUGGCAAGGUUAAGGCAUGGGCCGGAGCCGCAGCGAAAGCGAGUCUGAAUAGGGCGUACAGUCGCAUGGUCUAGACCCGAAGCCGAGUGAUCUAUCCAUGGGCAGGGUGAAGCGAGGGUAAGACCUCGUGGAGGCCCGAACCCACCUAGGUUGAAAACUGGGGGGAUGACCUGUGGAUAGGGGUGAAAGGCCAAACAAACUCGGUGAUAGCUGGUUCUCCCCGAAAUAGCUUUAGGGCUAGCGUCGCGCGUUCCACUAUGGGGGUAGAGCACUGAUUGGGCUAGGGGGCUUACCAGCUUACCAACCUCAGUCAAACUCCGAAUCUCAUAGUGCUAGAGCGCGGCAGUCAGACCGUGUGGGAUGAGCUUCACGGUCGAAAGGGAAACAGCCCAGAUCGCCAGCUAAGGCCCCUAAGUGUGUGCUAAGUGGGAAACGAGGUGGGAUCGCAGAAACAGCCAGGAGGUUGGCUUAGAAGCAGCCAUUCCUUGAAAGAGUGCGUAACAGCUCACUGGUCGAGUGGUCCUGCGCGGAAAAUGUAACGGGGCUCAAGCACACCGCCGAAGCUGCGGGAUUCCAUCAAUACUCUGACGUGUACGCGUCCAGAGGAUGGGAUCGGUAGGGGAGCGUCGAGCAGCCGGAGAAUCAGCGGCGCAAGCCAGCUGUGGAGGCUGCUCGAGUGAGAAUGCCGGUAUGAGUAGCGAGAGUGGAGUGAGAAUCUCCACCGCCGAAAGUCCAAGGGUUCCUGGGGAAGGCUCGUCCGCCCAGGGUUAGUCGGGACCUAAGGCGAGGCCGAUAGGCGUAGUCGAUGGACAACUGGUUGAUAUUCCAGUACCACCAUGCAAGCGUCCGGACUGAGCGCAGCUUGCUAAGGAGAGCCCUUCGGGGCCCUCCGACCCAGCGGCGGGAGGUCAGCAAUGGGAUGACGCGGAAGGGUAGGUGGACCCGGGCGUUGGUUGCCCCGGGGUAAGUGUGUAGGGCGAGGUCCAGGCAAAUCCGGACCUCAUGAAGCCAGAGGCACGAUGCCGAGCCGCUAUAGGCGAAGCCACUGAACGCCCAUGCCGCCGAGAAAACUCUCUAGCGAGUUUGUAUGGUGCCCGUACCCCAAACCGACACAGGUGGACAGGUAGAGAAUACCAAGGCGAGCGAGAUAACUCUGGUUAAGGAACUAGGCAAAAUGGUUCCGUAACUUCGGGAGAAGGAUCGCCCCGGUAAAGUGAAGGAUGUACAUCCUGAGCUUGAGGGGGCUGCAGUGACCAGGCCCGAGCGACUGUUUACUAAAAACACAGCAGCGUGCUAAGUCGCAAGACGCUGUAUACGCUGUGACGCCUGCCCGGUGCCGGAAGGUUAAGAGGGGGGGUUAGCCUAGGCGAAGCUCUGAAUCUAAGCCCCGGUAAACGGCGGCCGUAACUAUAACGGUCCUAAGGUAGCGAAAUUCCUUGUCGGGUAAGUUCCGACCUGCACGAAUGGCGUAACGACUUGGGUACUGUCUCAACCAGAGACUCGGCGAAAUUGCAUUGUGAGUAAAGAUGCUCACUACCUGCGACAGGACGGAAAGACCCCGGAACCUUUACUGCAGCUUGACAUUGAUGUCUGGUAUACACUGUGUAGGAUAGGUGGGAGACAAAGAAGCGGUGCCGCCAGGUACCGUGGAGUCAACCUUGAAAUACCACCCUCUGUAUGGCGGGCACCUAACUUGGGUCCGUAAUCCGGAUCGAGGACAGUGUCUGGCGGGCAGUUUCACUGGGGCGGUGGCCUCCUAAAGAGUAACGGAGGCGCUCAAUGGUUCCCUCAGUCUGGUCGGCAAUCAGACGGCGAGUGCAAUGGCACAAGGGAGCUUGACUGUGAGACUUACAAGUCGAACAGGGACGAAAGUCGGACAUAGUGAUCCUACCGUGGCACGUGGAAGCGCGGUGGCUUAACGGCUAAAAGGUACUCCGGGGAUAACAGGCUUAUACCCCCCAAGAGUCCAUAUCGACGGGGGUGUUUGGCACCUCGAUGUCGGCUCGUCGCAUCCUGGGGCUGAAGCAGGUCCCAAGGGUCGGGCUGUUCGCCCGUUAAAGCGGCACGCGAGCUGGGUUUAGAACGUCGUGAGACAGUUCGGUCCCUAUCCGUCGCAGGCGCAGGAGAUUUGAGAGGAUCUGUCCCUAGUACGAGAGGACCGGGAUGGACGUACCUAUGGUGUGCCAGUUGUCCUGCCAAGGGCACGGCUGGUUAGCUACGUACGGACAGGAUAAGCGCUGAAGGCAUCUAAGUGCGAAGCCCACCUCGAGAUGAGAUCUCCCACCGGGUAAACCGGGUAAGGACCCUGGUAGAACACCAGGUUGAUAGGCCGGAAGUGUAAGCGCAGCAAUGUGUUCAGCGGACCGGUACUAAUAGUCCGAGGGCUUGAUAUU